RNAcentral lists this ribosomal RNA (78 nucleotides) under Enterococcus faecalis. Lineage: Bacteria; Bacillati; Bacillota; Bacilli; Lactobacillales; Enterococcaceae. The record is from RNAcentral.
UGUGGUGGCGAUAGCGAGAAGGAUACACCUGUUCCCAUGCCGAACACAGAAGUUAAGCUUCUUAGCGCCGAUUGUAGU